ACGCUGGCGGCGUGCCUAAUACAUGCAAGUAGAACGCUGAAGAGAGGAGCUUGCUCUUCUUGGAUGAGUUGCGAACGGGUGAGUAACGCGUAGAUAACCUGCCUUGUAGCGGGGGAUAACUAUUGGAAACGAUAGCUAAUACCGCAUAACAAUGGGUGACACAUGUCAUUUAUUUGAAAGGGGCAAUUGCUCCACUACAAGAUGGACCUGCGUUGUAUUAGCUAGUAGGUGAGGUAACGGCUCACCUAGGCGACGAUACAUAGCCGACCUGAGAGGGUGAUCGGCCACACUGGGACUGAGACACGGCCCAGACUCCUACGGGAGGCAGCAGUAGGGAAUCUUCGGCAAUGGGGGCAACCCUGACCGAGCAACGCCGCGUGAGUGAAGAAGGUUUUCGGAUCGUAAAGCUCUGUUGUAAGUCAAGAACGAGUGUGAGAGUGGAAAGUUCACACUGUGACGGUAGCUUACCAGAAAGGGACGGCUAACUACGUGCCAGCAGCCGCGGUAAUACGUAGGUCCCGAGCGUUGUCCGGAUUUAUUGGGCGUAAAGCGAGCGCAGGCGGUUUGAUAAGUCUGAAGUUAAAGGCUGUGGCUCAACCAUAGUUCGCUUUGGAAACUGUCAAACUUGAGUGCAGAAGGGGAGAGUGGAAUUCCAUGUGUAGCGGUGAAAUGCGUAGAUAUAUGGAGGAACACCGGUGGCGAAAGCGGCUCUCUGGUCUGUAACUGACGCUGAGGCUCGAAAGCGUGGGGAGCGAACAGGAUUAGAUACCCUGGUAGUCCACGCCGUAAACGAUGAGUGCUAGGUGUUGGAUCCUUUCCGGGAUUCAGUGCCGCAGCUAACGCAUUAAGCACUCCGCCUGGGGAGUACGACCGCAAGGUUGAAACUCAAAGGAAUUGACGGGGGCCCGCAC
Molecule: ribosomal RNA, 911 nt
Filed under: uncultured bacterium
Lineage: Bacteria
Description: bacterial SSU rRNA
Rfam family: Bacterial small subunit ribosomal RNA
Source: RNAcentral